CGUGCAGGCGGCCUUGCAAGUCGGACGUGAAAUCCCACGGCUCAACCGUGGAAGUGCAUUCGAAACUGCGAGGCUGGAGUCCUGGAGAGGAAAGUGGAAUACUCGGUGUAGAGGUGAAAUUCGUAGAUAUCGAGUGGAACACCGGUGGCGAAGGCGGCUUUCUGGACAGGUACUGACGCUGAGACGCGAAAGCGUGGGGAGCAAACA
This 207-nucleotide ribosomal RNA is filed under the name uncultured bacterium. Its description in RNAcentral is "partial 16S ribosomal RNA". It matches the Rfam family "Bacterial small subunit ribosomal RNA", at positions 568 to 774 of the family's 1533-position model. The record is from RNAcentral.